CCCUUACUACUUGGAUACCCGUGGUAAUUCUAGAGCUAAUACAUGCGAAAAGACCCGACUUACGAAGGGUUGUAUUUAUUAGAUAAAAAACCAAUCCGGGCAACCGGUGCUAGGUGAAUCAUAAUAACUUCGCGAAUCGCAUGGCCUUGUGCCGGCGAUGAAUCAUUCAAAUUUCUGCCCUAUCAACUUUCGAUGGUGAGGUAUUGGCUCACCAUGGUUGCAACGGGUAACGGAGAAUUAGGGUUCGAUUCCGGAGAGGGAGCCUGAGAGACGGCUACCACAUCCAA
This 287-nucleotide ribosomal RNA is filed under the name Proboscia inermis. RNAcentral's name for it is "partial Eukaryotic small subunit ribosomal RNA". It matches the Rfam family "Eukaryotic small subunit ribosomal RNA", at positions 129 to 419 of the family's 1831-position model. Lineage: Eukaryota; Bacillariophyta; Melosirophyceae; Probosciales; Probosciaceae. The record is from RNAcentral.